Long non-coding RNA from Hibiscus syriacus, 345 nucleotides. RefSeq lists it as uncharacterized. The record is from RefSeq and is a predicted model, not a curated record. NCBI's taxonomy places the organism in Eukaryota, Viridiplantae, Streptophyta, Magnoliopsida, Malvales, Malvaceae. The transcript is spliced from 3 exons.
UUUAUCUAUUUAUGUCACAGUGAUGUUGAUGCUCCCGAGGCCGAUCAUUUAAAGGAAUUCAACGGGUUUAUACAAGCUGUACUAGGAAAGGAACUGCUCGGGAUUCACGAGUCGAAGAUAAAAACUGUUGGACAUUAAACGAAGUUGGUGGAAUACGCAGCCCCAACAGGUUCCCUUCAGGAUCCAAUACGUCUUCUGAAGUGGAUAAAGAGAAAAAUCAUGGACCAAUUAUUAGCAAGGAAGACAAGGCAGGUGCAUGCGAAGAUGACAAUGCGUUCAGAGUUGUGGCAGAGGAGAAGCGCGAGGCUUCUACGGAGGUACCAACAGUAAAUGAAACCGAUGCAG